GAGGAUAGGGAAAGCAGGAAAGGGGGACAGAGGGCAUGAGCUGUACAUGUAAGAAAUGCCCCCACUAAGGCAAUCCCCAGGCACCUGGGCCAGAGUCUGCUGCCCCUCACCCAGAAGAUGCUGCAGAUGUCACAUCACUGUUCAGGGUUAAACUCCCGUCAGGAUUCAAGGACAGACACCACAAGCCACGGCUGACCCCUUUUCCGUCUGAUGUUUCUGCCCCUCCUUAGCAAGGCCAUCCUGACUCAUGGACUCUGUUUUGUCACCAGUAAACGCCCCGAGGUUGUGACCAUGACGGACUGGAAGGCUCCUGUGGUGUGGGAAGGCGCUUAUAACAGAGCCGUCUUAGAUGAUUAUUAUGCCAAGCAGAAAAUUACCGUCGGCCUGACGGUUUUCGCUGUCGGAAGAUACAUUGAGCAUUACUUGGAGGAGUUCUUAACGUCUGCUAAUAAGCACUUCAUGGUUGGCCAUCGAGUCAUCUUUUACAUCAUGGUGGAUGAUGUCUCCAGGAUGCCUUUGAUAGAGCUGGGUCCUCUGCGCUCCUUCAAAGUGUUUGAGAUCAAGCCUGAGAAGAGGUGGCAGGACAUCAGCAUGAUGCGCAUGAAGACCAUCGGGGAGCACAUUGUGGCCCACAUCUAGCAUGAGGUUGACUUCCUCUUCUGCAUGGACGUGGACCAGGUCUUCCAAGACAAGUUUGGGUUGGAGACCCUGGGUGAGUCGGUGGCCCAGCUACAGGCCUGGUGGUACAAAGCAGAUCCCGACGAGUUCACCUACGAGAGACGGAAGGGGUCUGCAGCAUACAUUCCCUUUGGCGAAGGGGAUUUUUAUUACCACGCAGCCAUUUUUGGGGGAACACCUACUCAGGUCCUUAACAUCACCCAGGAAUGCUUCAAAGGAAUCCUCAAGGACAAGAAAAAUGACAUAGAAGCCCAAUGGCACGAUGAAAGCCAUCUAAACAAGUAUUUCCUUCUCAACAAACCCACUAAAAUCUUAUCCUCGGAAUACUGAUGGGAUUAUCAUAUAGGCCUACCUGCAGAUAUUAAGCUUGUCAAGAUGUCUUGGCAGACAAAAGAGUAUAAUGUGGUUAGAAAUAACAUCUGACUUUGUGCCAGUACAUUUCUGAAUUUGAGAGAGUAUUAUUCUGGCUACUUCCUCAGAAAAGUAACACUUAAUUUUAACUUAAAAAAAAAUACUAACUAAAGACCAACACAGCAAGUACAUAUUAUUUCUCCUUGUAACUCUGAGCCUUGUAAUACGAGAGAAUGAACCUGUGGUAAUCAGAUGUAAAUUCCCAGUGAUUUCUUAUCUAUUCUCAGUUGUGGGGGUGGGGAACGGAUAUACAAUCAGUUGAACCAAAAAAAAAAAAUUUGUCAUAGACAAAGAAAAAGCCAGAAGCAUUCUACAUGUGCCAAUUGACUUACUGGAGAGAAGUAUGCAAAGGACAUUGUUUGGCUUCUGUGCCAAGACUGGUCAAGAUUCCCAGUGCAUAUGGUGAAGAUGUUGGGAGCCACAGGCAAUCUGAGGGAGCCAGUGGAUGCUCAGCGCGAAAUGAAAACAAAGCCUCCAAGUAAGUUGGCCGUGAAAUAAGCAAAGAGAGAGUAGAAAGACAGGGAGCUGAUCACUGUGGGGCAGGGCCUCCUCUGAGGGGCACAGGGCAUGCAGUUGGCACAUAAAUACGGCAUGGAUCCAGGCAGUGUGGGUGGUCUCCAGUCUCCUCAACCAUGAUGACAGCCAGAGCAGUGUUGUCUUAUAAGAUGCUGCUUGUUUUGGCCAAGUCAUAUUCAGUAUGCCAGACUCUGGAACUUGAGUCUUCAGAUCCUUGGCCAGAGGAAGUGGAUGGUGUCUGAGGAAACAAAAACCUGUAGGGGACUGAAGAGGAUUGCCAGGACUUACACUUCCCAGACCUGGGUUUCAUGAUAGUCAGUUGUCAGCAAGUCCCGCCACCACUUGCUCUAACCCUCAGCCCAUCCAGCCCCACGUUGGAGGGCUGCUAUCAAGGAACCUCUCAUUUCCCCUUGCCCCACCUGCACUACUGAAGUAUAACAACCAGACAUGUUUAAUAAAAUGGUUAGUUGAUUUUAUGUCAAAAGUAGAGGGGAUGGCGAUGGGAGAUCCAGUCCUUGUGACUGAACAACUUACCACUCGACUCCUUUCUCUGAGAGAAGCUAUGAAAUCUUAUAUAUUAUUUAAACUUAAACAAGUCAGUGUAACGGGAGAAGAGAGGCAGCAUUUAUAUAUGCAGGCAUGUUUAUAUUUUGCUUGUGUUCCGGUUUACAUCAUUGCUUCCCAUUUUCAAGCAGUUGACUUAAAGGGCCACCUCACUGGCUUGAUGCUCAGCCGUGCGGGCUGCUUUGAUAAAAUGAAACCUCCAUUUUCUCUACUGUUUUACUGUGCCUCCUACUCUUCUGUUCUUGCCAAAAUUUUUCACAACCCAGUAAAACAAAAGAAAACCAACAAAAAUCCUGAAAAAGUGGGCUUGCAAAAGAAAAAGAUCAAAAGUCAGUUAGGACUCUUGAUUCUGUAAAAUUCAAGUUUUGGGGGAUCCAUUCUGGACUAGGGAGAGUUCAUGAUUUAAGUCUGAAAGCAAAGGAAUGAUGUAUCUUCAAAGAUCAGAAAGGAAUGAAAAGGAAUGAAGUUUCCUUUCGAAGGGAUCUUGAUUUUUUU
This is a non-coding RNA of Odocoileus virginianus texanus, 2664 nucleotides long. Lineage: Eukaryota; Metazoa; Chordata; Mammalia; Artiodactyla; Cervidae. The record is from RefSeq and is a predicted model, not a curated record.